RNAcentral lists this ribosomal RNA (466 nucleotides) under uncultured bacterium. Its description in RNAcentral is "partial 16S ribosomal RNA". It matches the Rfam family "Bacterial small subunit ribosomal RNA", at positions 28 to 507 of the family's 1533-position model. The record is from RNAcentral.
GACGAACGCUGGCGGCGUGCUUAACACAUGCAAGUCGAACGGUAAGGCUCCAGAUUGCUGGGGUACACGAGUGGCGAACGGGUGAGUAACACGUGGGUGACCUGCCCUGCACUUCGGGAUAAGCCUGGGAAACUGGGUCUAAUACCGGAUAGGACCAUGGUGUGGAUACUGUGGUGGAAAGUUUUUUCGGCGUGGGAUGGGCCCGCGGCCUAUCAGCUUGUUGGUGGGGUAAUGGCCUACCAAGGCGGCGACGGGUAGCCGGCCUGAGAGGGUGGACGGCCACAUUGGGACUGAGACACGGCCCAGACUCCUACGGGAGGCAGCAGUGGGGAAUAUUGCACAAUGGGCGGAAGCCUGAUGCAGCGACGCCGCGUGGGGGAUGACGGCCUUCGGGUUGUAAACUCCUUUCACCAUCGACGAAGGGUUUCUGACGGUAGAUGGAGAAGAAGCACCGGCUAACUACGUG